CUCUGACCACCACCGCCGGUAACCCCUCAUCAGCCGCUCUUCUUUUCCAGUUUGAUCCGUUGAACAGUUCCGAAGAAAUCCCUCCAAGUUAAGUUCUCAGCAAGUAACCAGUCACCAUAGACAUUUUGGUAAGUGAGCUUGUAACGUUCUGAAUCCGUUUCAUCAAACAUGUUCAUCAAAGUGGCUCUAAGCGCAUCAAAAGAAUGGUAUUGGCUCAAAUCAACCUUCCUAGCAAUUCCCACUCCUUCCAUCUUCACCUUCA
Molecule: unclassified non-coding RNA, 262 nt
Filed under: Hevea brasiliensis (rubber tree)
Lineage: Eukaryota; Viridiplantae; Streptophyta; Magnoliopsida; Malpighiales; Euphorbiaceae
Source: RNAcentral